This is a long non-coding RNA of Ictalurus punctatus (channel catfish), 811 nucleotides long. Lineage: Eukaryota; Metazoa; Chordata; Actinopteri; Siluriformes; Ictaluridae. The record is from Ensembl.
CUCCAGGUUCCCCGUGACCCUGAAAAGGAGUAAGCGGUAGAAGAUGGAUGGAUGGGAGAUAACCUAGGCUUCUGGUCAACAUGUUUGGAUUACAGCCUCAGUCAGAUCACAGUUAGCUACGUAAUUGUAUACAGACCUGGAAACAAGGUGUGGAAGAAGCUGCAAAAGAUGGAAGAGUGCUCAAACAGCAGCUUAAAAAGGGGAGGACCUGGCUACUACUGGGAGGACAAUAUCCAUACCAUGGGGCACCAAAUGGGGUCAGAGCUCCCCAUCUAUGAAGUAAGUCCAUAAUAUACAUUCAAUAGUCCUACAUAGGAAUCUGCUCAUGCCAUGUUAUCAGUUCCCUCUUGAGACUCCACCAGGUCUAAGUCCUACCCCCAGAAACAAGAAACAAGAAAAGAGGCCAAAGCUUGCACCUCAGACUCUGGAAGUGGAUACAGAUAGUGAGGAUGGUCACAGGGAAACCUGGAGCCUAUCCCAGGGAGCAUCGGGCACAAGGCGGGGUACAGGGUGCCAAUCCAUCGCAGGGCGAAAUCACAUACACAUUUUGGACAUGCCAAUAAUCCUACCAUGCCAUGCACCAUGCACCGGAGUACCCAGAGGAAACCUCCGCAGCACAGGGAGAACAUCUGCACACUCAUGGCCACCGUGGGAGUCGAACCCCUGGACUCUGGAGGUGUGAGGCGAACGUGCUAACCACUAAGCUACCGUGUGCCCCUACCUUAUUAUACAUAACUUUAUGUAUGGACUUUAACAUUGUGAAUUAUUUAUAUUUUCAGAUUUCUUGAGUUAAUACUGAUGUCUGCUGAAG